This 297-nucleotide long non-coding RNA is filed under the name Elaeis guineensis (African oil palm). Its description in RNAcentral is "long non-coding RNA (EGUI_LNC003982)". Lineage: Eukaryota; Viridiplantae; Streptophyta; Magnoliopsida; Arecales; Arecaceae. The record is from RNAcentral.
UGGCAAUCAAUCUCAAAGUAUGGGAUGACCCCCAAGUCUUGACAUCUUGGGCCCUAUAGAUAGCAAUUAUUUAGGAUAAAACUCUCUUUGCCGGUGGAUCUCCAAAUAGAUGGGUCACAAGCCCAACGUUCCAACCCCUCUCUCCAGGUGGUAAUAAAUAAUAAACUUGCAUCGUGUCACUAAUCUCUAUGCUAACAAGUGCCGGCCAUCGGCUAAACGGGAGGUUAGCAACCCAAGGGUCAUGAACAAGAUUCAUCAUCUACCCAUUUUUCACCAUCAACUGGAUGCAUGGCAUCC